UCCUACUGAAGACCUUAAAACCCUUAUAACUCGUUCUCCUUUGCCCACUCUUUUCACUUACAGACCAAUAUGGGAGGGAGGUCAGUAUGAAGGUGACGAACCCAGUAGAUUGGAUGCUCUUAGAUUAGCCAUGGAGUUGGGAGCUGAUUAUGUUGAUGUUGAGCUUCAGGUUGCUCGUCAGUUUAAUGACUCCACACAUGAAAAAAAACCUGCGAAGUGCAAAGUCAUUGUUUCUUCUCACAACUAUCACAACACCCCAUCUGUUGAGGAGCUUGGCAACCUUGUGGCAAAAAUACAAGCUGCUGGAGCUGACAUAGUGAAGAUUGCAACAACUGCCUUGGAUAUUACUGAUGUUGCUCGCAUUUUCCAAAUAACUGUCCAUUCUCAAGUUCCGAUAAUUGGAAUUGUUAUGGGUGAGAGGGGUUUGAUUUCACGGAUACUUUGUGCAAAGUUUGGUGGGUAUCUCACUUUUGGCACUCUAGAGUCAGGAAUAGUUUCUGCUCCUGGUCAACCAAUGAUCAAGGAUUUACUGGAUCUAUACAAUUUUAGAUCAAUUGGACCUGAUACAAAAGUAUAUGGCAUUAUUGGAAAGCCUGUCAGCCACAGCAAAUCACCUAUUUUAUACAAUGAAGC
Molecule: unclassified non-coding RNA, 633 nt
Filed under: Hevea brasiliensis (rubber tree)
Lineage: Eukaryota; Viridiplantae; Streptophyta; Magnoliopsida; Malpighiales; Euphorbiaceae
Source: RNAcentral